CCCUCGAACCCCUCCGGGGGUACGGCGUUGGGGAUCGGCCGCCCUCCGGCGCGCCGGCCCCGAAAUCUAGUGGCGGUCUCGCUGUAGCCUCCUCUGCGUAGUAAUACACCUCGCACCGGAUCGCAGCCUGGCCACGCCGUAAAACCCCCGACCCCCAUGAGUUUGACCUCGGAUCAGGUAGGAAUACCCGCUGAACUUAA
This 200-nucleotide unclassified non-coding RNA is filed under the name soil metagenome. RNAcentral describes it as "partial contains internal transcribed spacer 2 and large subunit ribosomal RNA". The record is from RNAcentral.